GAAACCUUUGGUUUUUAGUCAUACUAAUCAUCGGAGCUGUUUCGUUACAAAUUGAAAUAUAGUUGUUUAGCAAUUACUCUAUACAAUUAUUCAAAAUGAAAAGAUUUGUGAUCAUUGGACUGGCCACAGCGGUUACUGUCCCAUUGAUUUAUGCCUUGAAGAAACGCGAACGUCGGACUGAAGUGGUGCAGGAAGAGCAGGAGGAGGACGAGCAGGUGGACCCCGAGUGCGAGCAGGAGCCCCAACUGGUGGAGGAGGAUGGGGAUGAGCCGCGGAUGGUGGAGUAUGAUCUGGUGGACGAAGAGGGUCGCCCGCAACCUCAACGUGAAAUCGGCGUUGGGGAAAUAAUUGUGGUUUUGUGCACUGGAUUUUUCCUGUCGAAAAUAUUUUCGCGUGGCGUGUUCUAUAAAAUCCUGAUGUCGAGGCUCAAUCUUGUGCAGUAAUGCACUUUCCUUCACCUGUACUUAAUCCUGUAUCUCGUAUCCUGUUUCCUGUUUCUUUCUUCUGUUCCUCCCUGACACAAGUAUCCCCAAAUUCUCUUAGCUGCCCGAUCAAAUCUGGAACAUCGAUGUAGUCAAAGAAAAUUUACCUAAAACUCGCCUUGACAGAUGCAUAGCCCUGGUUCCCCCUUCCAUGUUUCGAUGUAUACCUAAGUGGGAGUGGAAAACAGGGUUACCGCACAAAUAUCUUUCUAAAGAAAGACAGAGAACCCUUGAAACGAGCAGCUUGAAUUGGACGAGAUUCAAUCCACGGAGACUUUAACCAAAUACAUCUGAAACACUUAAGGCAAAUAUUCUUCAUUUCAUUACUGAAACGCAGUGUAUGCAUACAAAAUGUCAAUAGAUACGAUAUUACGUUCGGGAACUUAAGACUCCACUGAGCCCAAAAUAAAAGCUACAAUAAAAACUG
Long non-coding RNA from Drosophila pseudoobscura, 909 nucleotides. RefSeq lists it as uncharacterized. Lineage: Eukaryota; Metazoa; Arthropoda; Insecta; Diptera; Drosophilidae. The record is from RefSeq and is a predicted model, not a curated record. The transcript has 2 exons.